AAGUCGUAACAAGGUCUCCGUAGGUGAACCUGCGGAGGGAUCAUUACUGAGUGAGGGCCAUCUGGCCCGACCUCCAACCCCAUGUCACCCGACUCUGUUGCCUCGGGGGCGACCCGGCCUUCGGGCGCUGGGCCCCCGGUGGACUACCUAACUCUGCAUCUUUGCGUCUGAGUACAUUUGAAAAUAAAUCAAA
RNAcentral lists this unclassified non-coding RNA (193 nucleotides) under plant metagenome. RNAcentral's name for it is "partial contains small subunit ribosomal RNA and internal transcribed spacer 1". The stretch from base 1 to 46 matches the Rfam family "Eukaryotic small subunit ribosomal RNA", at positions 1786 to 1831 of the family's 1831-position model. The record is from RNAcentral.